UACGAAGGGGGCUAGCGUUGCUCGGAAUUACUGGGCGUAAAGGGCGCGUAGGCGGACCGUUUAGUCAGAGGUGAAAGCCCAGGGCUCAACCUUGGAACUGCCUUUGAUACUGGCUGUCUUGAGUUCGGGAGAGGUGAGUGGAAUGCCGAGUGUAGAGGUGAAAUUCGUAGAUAUUCGGCGGAACACCAGUGGCGAAGGCGACUCACUGGCCCGAUACUGACGCUGAGGCGCGAAAGCGUGGGGAGCAAACAGG
RNAcentral lists this ribosomal RNA (253 nucleotides) under uncultured bacterium. RNAcentral describes it as "partial 16S ribosomal RNA". It matches the Rfam family "Bacterial small subunit ribosomal RNA", at positions 524 to 776 of the family's 1533-position model. The record is from RNAcentral.